RNAcentral lists this ribosomal RNA (467 nucleotides) under uncultured bacterium. RNAcentral's name for it is "partial 16S ribosomal RNA". It matches the Rfam family "Bacterial small subunit ribosomal RNA", at positions 28 to 507 of the family's 1533-position model. The record is from RNAcentral.
GACGAACGCUGGCGGCGUGCUUAACACAUGCAAGUCGAACGGAAAGGCCCUGCUUUUGUGGGGUGCUCGAGUGGCGAACGGGUGAGUAACACGUGAGUAACCUGCCCUUGACUUUGGGAUAACUUCAGGAAACUGGGGCUAAUACCGGAUAGGAGCUCCUGCUGCAUGGUGGGGGUUGGAAAGUUUCGGCGGUUGGGGAUGGACUCGCGGCUUAUCAGCUUGUUGGUGGGGUAGUGGCUUACCAAGGCUUUGACGGGUAGCCGGCCUGAGAGGGUGACCGGCCACAUUGGGACUGAGAUACGGCCCAGACUCCUACGGGAGGCAGCAGUGGGAUUAUUGCACAAUGGGCGGAAGCCUGAUGCAGCAACGCCGCGUGCGGGAUGACGGCCUUCGGGUUGUAAACCGCUUUCGCCUGUGACGAAGCGUGAGUGACGGUAAUGGGUAAAGAAGCACCGGCUAACUACGUG